GCUUGCUCCAUCACAAGAGGCGAAUGGCGAACGGUUGAGUAACACGCGGGUAACCUGCCCAUCAUAAGGGGAUAACACUUGAAAACAGGUGCUAAUACCGCAUAACACUAUUUUCCGCAUGGUUGAAAGUUGAUGGGCUCUUUUGCGUCCCUGAUGGAUGGACCCGCGGUGCAUUAGACAGUUGGUGAGGGCACGGCUCACCAAGGGAACGGUGCCUAGGCGACCUGAGAGGGUGAUCGACCCCUCUGGGACUGAGACACGGCCCAUACUCCUACGGGAGGCAGCAGUAUGGAAUCUUCCUGAUGGACGAAAAUCUGACCGAUCAACACCGCGUGAGUUUGAAGGUUUUCGGAUCUAAAACUCUGUUGUUAGAGAAAAACACGGAUGACAGUAAAAUGUUCAUCCCUUGACGGUAUCUAUCCCUAAAGCCACGCCUAACUACUUGCCAGCAGGCGCGGUAAUACGUUCGUGGCAAGCGGUGGCCGGAUUUAUUGGGUCUAAAGCGUGCGCCGGAGGUUUCUUAAGUCUGAUGUGACUGCCCACGGCUCAACAGGGGAGGGUCAUUGGAAACUGGGAGACUUGAUUGCAUUCCAGGAGAGUGGAAUUCCUUGUGUAACGGUGAAAUGCAUACAUAUAUGGAGGAACGCCAGUGGCGCAAGCAGU
Molecule: ribosomal RNA, 663 nt
Filed under: Enterococcus faecalis
Lineage: Bacteria; Bacillati; Bacillota; Bacilli; Lactobacillales; Enterococcaceae
Description: bacterial SSU rRNA
Rfam family: Bacterial small subunit ribosomal RNA
Source: RNAcentral